CAAGGGCCUCACACAUGGCCAAGAAUGUGAACAAGGCUUGGAGUUGUUGCAACUCACGUGCUUGGCUUCGUGUGAAAGGUCUCGAGCUAGGAAUUCCCGUAUCAUCCUCUCCAUCUUGAAGGGAAUUUGUCCUCAAAUUCGGAUCAUUGCCAUCCUCCACCGUUUCCACCCGAGAGAGAUCACACACGUUGAAAGUGUUGUGCACUUGAUAUUUCGGGGGUAGAUCAAUUAUGUAGGCAUUGACGUUGAUCCUUUCUAAUACUUGGAAC
RNAcentral lists this long non-coding RNA (269 nucleotides) under Capsicum annuum. Its description in RNAcentral is "long non-coding RNA (CANN_LNC004068)". Lineage: Eukaryota; Viridiplantae; Streptophyta; Magnoliopsida; Solanales; Solanaceae. The record is from RNAcentral.